AGAAAUUCUAGCAGUAAGUUAGGUUAUGAGAUAAAUUUUAUUUAUAUAGUUUGUUUAAAGAGUUUAGUUUGAAAAAAAGGGACACAGUAAAAAGACAAAACAUUUAGACCCUUUGAAAGAGAAAUGUUUGCAAUGGAUAUUAAUAAAUUCUAGCCAAUUUGUACGAUGUACAAUGUAGGCAAUAUUUCUGCCUCCUAACGCACUAUUCGCGUAAAAGAAGAUGUGGGUAUUGUAUUUAUAGAACAGAUUUAUUAUUAGUUGGCUAGUGUGUUAGUAGGAUAGCCAUUGGUAGUUAUAAAGUAUGAAGUCGUCAGGUAUUAAUAAUAGGAAUUGAU
This is a long non-coding RNA of Sitophilus oryzae (rice weevil), 335 nucleotides long. RefSeq lists it as uncharacterized. The transcript is spliced from 3 exons. The record is from RefSeq and is a predicted model, not a curated record. NCBI's taxonomy places the organism in Eukaryota, Metazoa, Arthropoda, Insecta, Coleoptera, Curculionidae.